RNAcentral lists this unclassified non-coding RNA (322 nucleotides) under uncultured fungus. Its description in RNAcentral is "partial contains 5.8S ribosomal RNA, internal transcribed spacer 2, and large subunit ribosomal RNA". The stretch from base 1 to 52 matches the Rfam family "5.8S ribosomal RNA", at positions 103 to 154 of the family's 154-position model. The record is from RNAcentral. Lineage: Eukaryota; Fungi.
AACGCACCUUGCGCUCCUUGGUAUUCCGAGGAGCAUGCCUGUUUGAGUGUCGUGAAAUUCUCAACCCCACCCCGCUUUGUUGUGGGGCUCGGGCUUGGACUUGGGGGUUUGCUGGUCAACUCUGUUCGAUCGGCUCCCCUUGAAGGCAUUAGCCCAGGACCUUAUGCUUCCCGGUCGGUUUUCACGGUGUGAUAGUUUAUCAACACCUGUGUCUCCGAUGUCUUUGGUGUGGCAUGACCGUGGUUCGGCUCUCCAACGGACGUGUCCCACGUCAAUUCACAAAUCUGACCUCAAAUCAGGUAGGACUACCCGCUGAACUUAA